GUCUCUGUGUGUAGUGUAGUUUAUCCUGCGUGUCUCUACGAUGUGUAACGUUAAAACCGCCAAUCACAAACUUUAUUAGAUCUCGGUAGAAGCAUGCGGCAUGUUAA
This is a long non-coding RNA of Etheostoma cragini (Arkansas darter), 107 nucleotides long. RefSeq lists it as uncharacterized. The transcript has 3 exons. The record is from RefSeq and is a predicted model, not a curated record. Lineage: Eukaryota; Metazoa; Chordata; Actinopteri; Perciformes; Percidae.